RNAcentral lists this ribosomal RNA (759 nucleotides) under Neisseria subflava. RNAcentral's name for it is "bacterial SSU rRNA". It matches the Rfam family "Bacterial small subunit ribosomal RNA", at positions 28 to 776 of the family's 1533-position model. The record is from RNAcentral. Lineage: Bacteria; Pseudomonadati; Pseudomonadota; Betaproteobacteria; Neisseriales; Neisseriaceae.
AUUGAACGCUGGCGGCAUGCUUUACACAUGCAAGUCGGACGGCAGCACAGAGAAGCUUGCUUCUUGGGUGGCGAGUGGCGAACGGGUGAGUAAUAUAUCGGAACGUACCGAGUAAUGGGGGAUAACUAAUCGAAAGAUUAGCUAAUACCACAUAUUCUCUGAGGAGGAAAGCAGGGGACCUUCGGGCCUUGCGUUAUUCGAGCGGCCGAUAUCUGAUUAGCUAGUUGGUGGGGUAAAGGCCUACCAAGGCGACGAUCAGUAGCGGGUCUGAGAGGAUGAUCCGCCACACUGGGACUGAGACACGGCCCAGACUCCUACGGGAGGCAGCAGUGGGGAAUUUUGGACAAUGGGCGCAAGCCUGAUCCAGCCAUGCCGCGUGUCUGAAGAAGGCCUUCGGGUUGUAAAGGACUUUUGUCAGGGAAGAAAAGGCUGUUGCUAAUAUCGACAGCUGAUGACGGUACCUGAAGAAUAAGCACCGGCUAACUACGUGCCAGCAGCCGCGGUAAUACGUAGGGUGCGAGCGUUAAUCGGAAUUACUGGGCGUAAAGCGAGCGCAGACGGUUACUUAAGCAGGAUGUGAAAUCCCCGGGCUCAACCUGGGAACUGCGUUCUGAACUGGGUGACUAGAGUGUGUCAGAGGGAGGUAGAAUUCCACGUGUAGCAGUGAAAUGCGUAGAGAUGUGGAGGAAUACCGAUGGCGAAGGCAGCCUCCUGGGAUAACACUGACGUUCAUGCUCGAAAGCGUGGGUAGCAAACAGG